Molecule: ribosomal RNA, 506 nt
Filed under: uncultured Lysobacteraceae bacterium
Lineage: Bacteria; Pseudomonadati; Pseudomonadota; Gammaproteobacteria; Lysobacterales; Lysobacteraceae
Description: uncultured Xanthomonadaceae bacterium partial 16S ribosomal RNA
Source: RNAcentral
CACGAAGUUAGCCGGUGCUUAUUCUUUGGGUACCGUCAGAACUCCCGGGUAUUAACCGGUAGCUUUUCUUCCCCAACAAAAGUGCUUUACAACCCGAAGGCCUUCUUCACACACGCGGCAUGGCUGGAUCAGGCUUGCGCCCAUUGUCCAAUAUUCCCCACUGCUGCCUCCCGUAGGAGUCUGGACCGUGUCUCAGUUCCAGUGUGGCUGAUCAUCCUCUCAGACCAGCUACCGAUCGUCGCCUUGGUGGGCCUUUACCCCGCCAACUAGCUAAUCGGACAUCGGCUCAUCCAAUCGCGCGACGCCUUGCGGUCCGCCGCUUUCAACCAUAGUUCGUAUGCGGUAUUAGCGUAAGUUUCCCUACGUUAUCCCCCACGACAAGGUAGAUUCCGAUGUAUUCCUCACCCGUCCGCCACUCGCCACCCACAGUAUUGCUACUGCUGUGCUGCCGUUCGACUUGCAUGUGUUAGGCCUGCCGCCAGCGUUCACUCUGAGCCAGGAUCAAA